CCUACGGGAGGCAGCAGUGAGGAAUAUUGGUCAAUGGACGCAAGUCUGAACCAGCCAUGCCGCGUGCAGGAAGACGGCUCUAUGAGUUGUAAACUGCUUUUGUACGAGGGUAAACGCAGAUACGCGUAUCUGUCUGAAAGUAUCGUACGAAUAAGGAUCGGCUAACUCCGUGCCAGCAGCCGCGGUAAUACGGAGGAUUCAAGCGUUAUCAGGCUUUAUUGGGGUUAAAGGGUUCGUAGGCGGUCGGAAAAGUUAGAGGCGAAAUCCCGAGGCGCAACUUGGGAAUUGCCGCUGAUACUGUGAGGCUAGAGAGUAGUUGCUGUAGGCGGAAUGGAUGGUGUAGCGGUGAAAUGCUUAGAGAUCAUACAGAACACCGAUUGCGAAGGCAGCUGACCAAGCUACUUCUGACGUUGAGGCACGAAAGCGUGGGGAGCAAACAGGAUUAGAUACCCGGGUAGU
RNAcentral lists this ribosomal RNA (459 nucleotides) under uncultured bacterium. RNAcentral describes it as "partial 16S ribosomal RNA". It matches the Rfam family "Bacterial small subunit ribosomal RNA", at positions 338 to 794 of the family's 1533-position model. The record is from RNAcentral.